This is a long non-coding RNA of Hyla sarda, 405 nucleotides long. RefSeq lists it as uncharacterized. The transcript is spliced from 4 exons. NCBI's taxonomy places the organism in Eukaryota, Metazoa, Chordata, Amphibia, Anura, Hylidae. The record is from RefSeq and is a predicted model, not a curated record.
UCUACUGGACAUGCAAACAAGGGGGGUUGAGGGAAAGUGUGUCUUCUGUUGCCUGGCAACUGCAGGAUCAAUGGUCAGAGAGGAAACCAGGAAGUGAUUUUAUCCAUGGGGGAGAAAAAACGCAAAGGGAUGUAGAGCGUAUACUGAAGAUGGCCGUGACGUGAUAAUCAUGCAGCACUAACUAACCAAACUACAACUUCCAGCAUGCUGGAUACAACUCCUGACACCCCUGUUUGAAGGUGUCGUGGCACUUGGGAGGAAUUUACUACUCCAAAGAUGGCUUUACCAGGCACGAUUGGAGAAUAAGCCUGAAGAUAUCAUCAGGAAAGAAACGAUAUACGUCUGGAAGGAAUCGUCACAGUGGUCUGAGCUAGAUGGAAAAUUAAAGAGGACGACUCUAAUGGG